GAGACUGCGGCGUCUUACCAUGCAAGUCGUACGAUGAACCACUUCGGUGGGGAUUAGUGGCGAACGGGUGAGUAACACGUGGGCAAUCUGCCCUUCACUCUGGGACAAGCCCUGGAAACGGGGUCUAAUACCGGAUAAUACUUCCACUCGCAUGGGUGGGGGUUAAAAGCUCCGGCGGUGAAGGAUGAGCCCGCGGCCUAUCAGCUUGUUGGUGAGGUAAUGGCUCACCAAGGCGACGACGGGUAGCCGGCCUGAGAGGGCGACCGGCCACACUGGGACUGAGACACGGCCCAGACUCCUACGGGAGGCAGCAGUGGGGAAUAUUGCACAAUGGGCGAAAGCCUGAUGCAGCGACGCCGCGUGAGGGAUGACGGCCUUCGGGUUGUAAACCUCUUUCAGCAGGGAAGAAGCGAAAGUGACGGUACCUGCAGAAGAAGCGCCGGCUAACUACGUGCCAGCAGCCGCGGUAAUACGUAGGGCGCAAGCGUUGUCCGGAAUUAUUGGGCGUAAAGAGCUCGUAGGCGGUCUGUCGCGUCGGAUGUGAAAGCCCGGGGCUUAACCCCCGGGUCUGCAUUCGAUACGGGCAGACUAGAGUGUGGUAGGGGAGAUCGGAAUUCCUGGUGUAGCGGUGAAAUGCGCAGAUAUCAGGAGGAACACCGGUGGCGAAGGCGGAUCUCUGGGCCAUUACUGACGCUGAGGAGCGAAAGCGUGGGGAGCGAACAGGAUUAGAUACCCUGGUAGUCCACGCCGUAAACGGUGGGAACUAGGUGUUGGCGACAUUCCACGUCGUCGGUGCCGCAGCUAACGCAUUAAGUUCCCCGCCUGGGGGAGUACGGGCCGCAAGGCUAAAACUCAAAGGAAUUGACGGGGGGCCCGCACAAGCAGCGGAGCAUGUGGGCUUAAUUCGACGCAACGCGAAGAACCUUACCAAGGCUUGACAUACACCGGAAACGUCUGGAGACAGGCGCCCCCUUGUGGUCGGUGUACAGGUGGUGCAUGGCUGUCGUCAGCUCGUGUCGUGAGAUGUUGGGUUAAGUCCCGCAACGAGCGCAACCCUUGUUCUGUGUUGCCAGCAUGCCCUUCGGGGUGAUGGGGACUCACAGGAGACUGCCGGGGUCAACUCGGAGGAAGGUGGGGACGACGUCAAGUCAUCAUGCCCCUUAUGUCUUGGGCUGCACACGUGCUACAAUGGCCGGUACAAAGAGCUGCGAAACCGUGAGGUGGAGCGAAUCUCAAAAAGCCGGUCUCAGUUCGGAUUGGGGUCUGCAACUCGACCCCAUGAAGUCGGAGUUGCUAGUAAUCGCAGAUCAGCAUUGCUGCGGUGAAUACGUUCCCGGGCCUUGUACACACCGCCCGUCACGUCACGAAAGUCGGUAACACCCGAAGCCGGUGGCCCAACCCCUUGUGGGAGGGAGCUUCGAAGUGAUGCCUUG
This 1433-nucleotide ribosomal RNA is filed under the name Streptomyces ryensis. Its description in RNAcentral is "bacterial SSU rRNA". It matches the Rfam family "Bacterial small subunit ribosomal RNA". Lineage: Bacteria; Bacillati; Actinomycetota; Actinomycetes; Kitasatosporales; Streptomycetaceae. The record is from RNAcentral.